Molecule: ribosomal RNA, 253 nt
Filed under: uncultured bacterium
Lineage: Bacteria
Description: partial 16S ribosomal RNA
Rfam family: Bacterial small subunit ribosomal RNA
Source: RNAcentral
GACGGAGGGUGCUAGCGUUGUUCGGAAUUACUGGGCGUAAAGGGCGCGUAGGCGGCCUGGUCAGUCGGAUGUGAAAGCCCGGGGCUCAACCCCGGAACGGCAUCCGAGACGGCCAGGCUGGAGACCGGGAGAGGAGAGUGGAAUAGCCAGUGUAGAGGUGAAAUUCGUAGAUAUUGGCUGGAACACCGGUGGCGAAAGCGGCUCUCUGACCCGGUUCUGACGCUGAGGCGCGAAAGCGUGGGGAGCAAACAGG